AUAGUACGAAGGUUGUUUACUAGUAUCUCCCAAAAAAGUAGAAACUAGACAUUGGAGUAUGAUGUAAUGGUU
RNAcentral lists this transfer RNA (72 nucleotides) under Cellulophaga phage Calle_1. RNAcentral describes it as "tRNA-Gln". Lineage: Duplodnaviria; Heunggongvirae; Uroviricota; Caudoviricetes; Pervagoviridae. The record is from RNAcentral.